UACGAAGGGGGCUAGCGUUGUUCGGAAUCACUGGGCGUAAAGCGCACGCAGGCGGAUUGAUAAGUCAGGGGUGAAAUCCCGGGGCUCAACCUCGGAAUUGCCUUUGAUACUGUCUGUCUUGAGUUCGGGAGAGGUUGGCGGAAUUCCUAGUGUAGAGGUGAAAUUCGUAGAUAUUCGCAAGAACACCAGUGGCGAAGGCGGCUUACUGGUCCGGAUCUGACGCUGAGGCGCGAAAGCGUGGGGAGCAAACAGG
This 253-nucleotide ribosomal RNA is filed under the name uncultured bacterium. RNAcentral's name for it is "partial 16S ribosomal RNA". It matches the Rfam family "Bacterial small subunit ribosomal RNA", at positions 524 to 776 of the family's 1533-position model. The record is from RNAcentral.